UUCCGGUUGAUCCUGCCGGACCUGACUGCUAUCGGAUUGAUACUAAGCCAUGCGAGUCAUUGUAGCAAUACAAGGCAGACGGCUCAGUAACGCGUAGUCAACCUAACCUAUGGACGGGAAUAACCUCGGGAAACUGAGAAUAAUGCCCGAUAGAGCACUAUACCUGGAAUGGUUUGUGUUCCAAAUGAUUUAUCGCCGUAGGGUGGGACUGCGGCCUAUCAGUUUGUUGGUGAGGUAAUGGGCCCACCAAGACUAUUACAGGUACGGGCUCUGAGAGGAGUAGCCCGGAGAUGGGUACUGAGACACGGACCCAGGCCCUAUGGGGCGCAGCAGGCGAGAAAACUUUGCAAUGUGCGAA
RNAcentral lists this ribosomal RNA (358 nucleotides) under uncultured archaeon. RNAcentral describes it as "bacterial SSU rRNA". It matches the Rfam family "Archaeal small subunit ribosomal RNA", at positions 1 to 363 of the family's 1478-position model. The record is from RNAcentral.